RNAcentral lists this ribosomal RNA (253 nucleotides) under uncultured bacterium. Its description in RNAcentral is "partial 16S ribosomal RNA". It matches the Rfam family "Bacterial small subunit ribosomal RNA", at positions 524 to 776 of the family's 1533-position model. The record is from RNAcentral.
UACGUAGGGUGCAAGCGUUGUCCGGAAUUAUUGGGCGUAAAGAGCUCGUAGGCGGUUUGUUGCGUCGGCCGUGAAAACCUGCAGCUUAACUGUGGGCCUGCGGUCGAUACGGGCAGACUUGAGUUCGGUAGGGGAGACUGGAAUUCCUGGUGUAGCGGUGAAAUGCGCAGAUAUCAGGAGGAACACCGGUGGCGAAGGCGGGUCUCUGGGCCGAUACUGACGCUGAGGAGCGAAAGCGUGGGGAGCGAACAGG